This 504-nucleotide long non-coding RNA is filed under the name Phasianus colchicus (ring-necked pheasant). Its description in RNAcentral is "lncRNA (ENSPCLG00000008749.1)". Lineage: Eukaryota; Metazoa; Chordata; Aves; Galliformes; Phasianidae. The record is from RNAcentral.
GCCAAAACAAACAAACAAACAACCCACCUUAAAAAGUUAAAUACAGGUUGAGAACAAUUGCUCUCAGCUUAACUUGAUUAUGUUAAUUAAUUAGGCAAUUUGAAAGAAAAGGUGAUUGGACCUGUGGAGCAAAGGGGAAGUAUUAACAAGGAGAGGGGUGACAAGCUCACUAACCUUUGUGGCAGAGAGGAAGACACAGAUAAUUAUCAUUUGUGGAAUAUUAAGGCAACAUUUGGGAGUAGAAGUUUGGGUAGGCAAUUCUGAAUAAUCCUGCCUGAUAACCUACUUACUGCCAAUACCCAAGUACAUCCAAUGCUGUGACUUCUUGGACAAAACAAAAACUUCCUGCUGACUAAUGUCUGCUUUGCCCCAAUCUGCCGGAUGCUCUGAUGAUGCUGACACCUGAAAUUCAAGGCCCAGUUUUGCAGUGUGGUGAGUGCAGUCAGCUGAAAGCGCUCCGUGAUGCUCAAGAGAUGCUGAAUGCCUUGCAGGAUGGGAUCCUUG